GAAAGGCCUCCAUGAGAUCCAGCUGUAAGGCAUUUUCUCAAUUAGUGAUCAGUGGGGGAGGGCCAGCCCAUGGUGGGUGGUGCCAUCUCUGGGCUGCUGGUCCUG
Molecule: microRNA precursor, 105 nt
Filed under: Cricetulus griseus (Chinese hamster)
Lineage: Eukaryota; Metazoa; Chordata; Mammalia; Rodentia; Cricetidae
Description: miRNA (ENSCGRG00001006704.1)
Source: RNAcentral